RNAcentral lists this long non-coding RNA (1199 nucleotides) under Phasianus colchicus (ring-necked pheasant). Its description in RNAcentral is "lncRNA (ENSPCLG00000018796.1)". Lineage: Eukaryota; Metazoa; Chordata; Aves; Galliformes; Phasianidae. The record is from RNAcentral.
GGAAGACUUUGGACAUUUAAGAAAAAAGUGCAACUUGGGAAAAUAGGAGUUAUUAGACAUUUUAGCGCUGGGAGGAAAAAUAGGAGCAAAACCCAGAGCAACACAAGCUGCCUUGAAAACCUAAAUUAAACUCAGAAUCACAAAGAGCAAAAUGUGUUAAUAAUAAAUGGGGGAUGCAUCUGCCUGCCUGGGCUCAGGGUGCAUGAAUGCUCUGGUUGAGGUCCUUGGGGUCACAAGCACAAAAUAUUCAGACACUUCUGAUGUUCCUGCAAUGCAUUUUACUAGGAAAAAAAAAUGUGAAACGAAGAAGGGAUGAGGCUGGAAAUUGAGACAGAAAGAUUCUGGGGAGACCUCAUUGCUGCCUUCCAGUACUUGAGCGGAGCUUACAAGCAGGAGGGAAACUGACUUUUUACACAGUCUGAUAGUGAUAGGACAUGGGGGAAUGGUUUUAAACUGAAAGAGGAGAUUUAGGCUAAAUGUUAGGACAAAAUUAUUUACCUAGAGGUAGUGAGGCCCUGGCACUGCUGCCCAGAGCUCUGGGUGCCCCAUCCCUGGAGCUGUGCAAGGCCAUUGAUGGGCCCUGGGCAGCCUGAGCUGGUGGUGGGCACCCAGCCCAUGGCAGGUGUUGGAACUGGGUGAUCUUUAAGAUCCCUCCCAACCCAACCAUUCUGUGAUUCUGUGCAGUCUUGAGAGAUCAUGCUGCUCCACACAGGGCUGGUGGCAUCAGCAGGACGAUGAUAACUCAGAGAUCAUUGUGGGAGCAGAAACCAGGUCUUGGAGGGUGUCGGGGAUUCCCUUGCUGGUCAGGCAGGCAUGCAGCCAAAUUCAGGAACGUGUGUCCCUCCCAGCUCGUCUGGAAGCGUGCUGAUGACCUGCUGCUGCUCCGUCUCCUUGGUGACUGCACAUGCCAGUAUCCCCAGACAAAAGCUCUCCUGGCACAUAAUGGGAACAGAGGGAGUGCUGGGCAGCAGCAUUCAGCCCUGGGGGCUGCGUUCCUCGCGCUCAGCCUGGGGGGCUGUUCUGCAGCCCUCAGCCCUGAGUCAGACAGAACUGCAGCCUUGCAGAUAAUUCCUAUUCAAAAACCAGAUGGGUAUUUCAGGAGAACCACUAAGGCUGAAAGUCCUCGUCCUGCACCCAGCAGACCUGGCUCUGAGCCCCACAAAGUCCAUCAGGGUCCUGCCCUGCUGGCGAUGAAAUGA